GAUGAACGCUAGCGGCAGGCCUAAUACAUGCAAGUCGAACGGAAUAUAGUUUUCGGAUUAUAUUUAGUGGCGCACGGGUGAGUAACACGUACAUAACUUACCCUCAAGAGGGGGAUAGCCUUGGGAAACUGAGCGUAAUACCCCAUAGUAUUAUUGAACGGCAUCGUUUGAUAAUUAAAGCUACGGCGCUUGAGGAUAGAUGUGCGUCUGAUUAGCUAGUUGGUAAGGUAACGGCUUACCAAGGCGACGAUCAGUAGGGGGCGUGAGAGCGUGGCCCCCCACACGGGUACUGAGACACGGACCCGACUCCUACGGGAGGCAGCAGUAAGGAAUAUUGGUCAAUGCCCGGAAGGGUGAACCAGCCAUGCCGCGUGAAGGAUGACUGCCCUCUGGGUUGUAAACUUCUUUUGGAUGGGACGAAAAAACGGGNUUUAUCCUGGACUGACGGUACCAUCAGAAUAAGCACCGGCUAACUCCGUGCCAGCAGCCGCGGUAAUGUAGUCGGUGU
This 508-nucleotide ribosomal RNA is filed under the name uncultured bacterium. RNAcentral's name for it is "bacterial SSU rRNA". It matches the Rfam family "Bacterial small subunit ribosomal RNA", at positions 28 to 535 of the family's 1533-position model. The record is from RNAcentral.